RNAcentral lists this non-coding RNA (95 nucleotides) under Burkholderia sp. SRS-W-2-2016. Lineage: Bacteria; Pseudomonadati; Pseudomonadota; Betaproteobacteria; Burkholderiales; Burkholderiaceae. The record is from RNAcentral.
CUUUAUGGGCGGGCCGUGGCAGGGAGGCGUUCGCGCCUGCCGGUAGUGGUUACAGAGCCGGUCGACCAACCCUGUCAAUGUGCCCGCUCACCCAC